AGGUUUAUUGAAAAACACGCAAAAUUUUAGAAAAAAUAAAUUCAACAAAUCCAUGGUAGUAAAAAACUUGUGGGCGCAAUCGGCUGUAAAUUUAACUAACAUAACCGGAUAUGCCGGAAAUAUUAAAAAAUGGAAGGAAGUAAUUGUCUUGGUAAAACUAAGAGAAGUUUAGACUUUGUAAAUAAAGUAAAGAAAGUAAACGAUCAUUACAUAGCAUAAACGGCGGAUCUUUAAAAAACAUUAAUAAUAUAAUACGAUUUGGGGGAUGAACUGUGGCGACAUUUGGAGCCAUGAGUGUGGGAUGAUGCCAAGUGCCCCAUAAAUUGGCGUGGAAGGUGCAACAGGAAUAACUUUAAGAUAUUCCACAUACGAAGGAAAUGUUGAUGCUACACCAGAAACAUCUAACGCAUUAGGAAAGCGCAAUAACACACGUAACAGAUAUAAAACCAAAAUUGGAGUAUGAAAUAACAGAGAACUGCUAUAGACGACGUGUACAUCUACAAGCCAUGGACGUCUACAGACGUCAUUUACGCCAGCGGAUUAACAAGAUUAACAAGAUAAACGAAAGUAAAAAUAUUUUAAAAAUUUGCAAAAGCGGUUGGUAGCAAGAAUAAAGC
Molecule: long non-coding RNA, 617 nt
Organism: Glossina fuscipes
Lineage: Eukaryota; Metazoa; Arthropoda; Insecta; Diptera; Glossinidae
Exons: 4
Source: RefSeq, a predicted model, not a curated record